AUGGUAAAUUGUUCACUCAGAU
RNAcentral lists this microRNA (22 nucleotides) under Parasteatoda tepidariorum (common house spider). RNAcentral's name for it is "pte-miR-11960-5p". Lineage: Eukaryota; Metazoa; Arthropoda; Arachnida; Araneae; Theridiidae. The record is from miRBase by way of RNAcentral.